Molecule: non-coding RNA, 286 nt
Organism: Leptonychotes weddellii (Weddell seal)
Lineage: Eukaryota; Metazoa; Chordata; Mammalia; Carnivora; Phocidae
Source: RefSeq, a predicted model, not a curated record
CCUGCUGAGGCUCCACCACCUGUAUGAGGUGGGGGAGGACCCGGUCCUGUCUCAGCCCGUGCGUGUGAACCUGGAGGUCGUGCUGCGGGGGCUGGGGUCCGUGGUGGCGGUGGAGGAGCGCUCGCUCACAGGGACCUGGGGUGUGAGCACGCUGCACCGCUGGAGCUGGAGCUGGAGGACACAAGAUCGUCCCCACCGCAGAGGCAGCUCCAGCUCUCACUCGACACCCCUGCAAGGCACCAAGGUCACCAUCUACCCGAAGGAAAUCCGGACGUUCUUCAUCCAC